AACGAACGCUGGCGGCGUGCUUAAGACAUGCAAGUCGUGCGAGAAAGUCACCUUCGGGUGACGAGUAGAGCGGCGCACGGGUGAGUAACGCGUGGGUAACCUGCCUUCGGGUUCGGAAUAACCUCGGGAAACUGGGGCUAAUGCCGAAUAAGACCACGAAGUCUUCGGGCUUCGCGGGAAAAGAUGGCCUCUCCUUGGAAGCUAUCGCCAGUCGAUGAGCCCGCGUCUGAUUAGCUUGUUGGUGAGGUAACGGCUCACCAAGGCGACGAUCAGUAGCUGGUCUGAGAGGAUGAUCAGCCACACUGGAACUGAGACACGGUCCAGACUCCUACGGGAGGCAGCAGUCGGGAAUUUUGGGCAAUGGGCGAAAGCCUGACCCAGCAACGCCGCGUGAGGGAUGAAGGCCUUCGGGUCGUAAACCUCUGUCGGAAGGGAAGAAAGGUCUCUGUUCGAAUAGGGCAGGGGCUUGACGGUACCUUCAAAGGAAGCACCGGCUAACUCCGUGCCAGCAGCCGC
This 516-nucleotide ribosomal RNA is filed under the name uncultured bacterium. RNAcentral's name for it is "bacterial SSU rRNA". It matches the Rfam family "Bacterial small subunit ribosomal RNA", at positions 29 to 518 of the family's 1533-position model. The record is from RNAcentral.